Long non-coding RNA from Anguilla anguilla (European eel), 1151 nucleotides. RefSeq lists it as uncharacterized. The transcript is spliced from 4 exons. Lineage: Eukaryota; Metazoa; Chordata; Actinopteri; Anguilliformes; Anguillidae. The record is from RefSeq and is a predicted model, not a curated record.
GGUGACAGUAUCGCCCCCUGCAGGUCCACAGGUGCCGGUGACGUCCGUGCUCCCUGCAGUUUUGCAGGCGGUAAAAGCGGUGCUGGAGCCCCAGGGGGCUGCAGUGACCCUCAGUGACAGAUGGGAGCCAGACCAGCAGGGGGCGCUGUCCAGGAACGAAGUCCCUACUGGGCUGCUGGAGAUGAACGCCUGGCUGGCCUCUCUCCAGAGCAUCGCUGACCGGAUGGAGAGGGAGAUCGAUGAGACCAAGAAGCUGAUCACCGCCAUAGAGAUGCUGGACCCCGCGGUCGACCCCGCGCCUAACGAUGUCUGUGAGGUCAUCAAUGCAGGGAUCACAGAGGAAGAGCCCAGGCAGCUUGCUGCUCCCACCCAACUCUGCCCAACCCGGUCAACCCACUGAGCACAUCACUUACUGUGGGAAGAACCAAUGAGCCUAUGAGGUGGACGAUACAUGGGAACCAAUAGGACGCCCUGGCUGGAUAAUAUGAGUGACGCAUAUGUUGUCCAGUACAAUCAGACUGUAAGCAUUGGAUCAUUUCAUUGGAUGGUUCCACACCUCAGGCUGAUUUGGAUCAUUUCAUUGGAUGGUUCCACACCUCAGACUGAUUUGGAUCAUUUCAUUAAAACAGGUCACGUGUGUCUCUGAAGACAUACAUUACAUACAGUAGUAGUGCUUAUUCUUAGAAUUGAAUAAAGCCAACAGAAUAAAGCCAUAAAACCUAUUUCCACUGAGCUCUUUCCCUUCUUGUGUUGGGCAGACAGAAACGACAGGUGUGCUGGAGACCAUAGCGCGGCGCAAGCAUGCAGUAAAUUCAUGAAGAGACGGAGAACAUCUGUCCUCUGGACAGGAAUGUAAAUGAAACAACAUGGAUGCUGUGAUCUUCCAACGUGAGGCUUUGUGCGGUAUCUAAAAACACGCUUUUCCCCUGAGGAGACCGUGUAAAACGGGCUCAGAGCUCCCCGUUACCGUGCCAUUCUCAGAGGAAAGGCCCCACCAGCGGAGCAGGGCCCUCUGCUCACAGGCUUUAGCAGUGGUUUUGCAUUUAGUGCAAUUUAAAACAGAAAUUGAACAGUUUUGUGACUAGAAAACUUCUCUGACAAACUAUCCCUUUUUUUAAGCAAAAAUGCCGUAAUUUAAAAAGUCCUUGAAG